RNAcentral lists this ribosomal RNA (264 nucleotides) under uncultured bacterium. Its description in RNAcentral is "partial 16S ribosomal RNA". It matches the Rfam family "Bacterial small subunit ribosomal RNA", at positions 793 to 1055 of the family's 1533-position model. The record is from RNAcentral.
GUCCACGCCUUAAAACGAUGGAUACUAAGUGUCGGCGGGUUACCGCCGGUGCCGCAGCUAACGCAGUAAGUAUCCCGCCUGGGAAGUACGGCCGCAAGGUUGAAACUCAAAGGAAUUGACGGGGGCCCGCACAAGCGGUGGAGCAUGUGGUUCAAUUCGACGCAACGCGAAGAACCUUACCCAGGCUGGACAUGCAGGUAGUAGAAGGGUGAAAGCCCAACGAGGUAGCAAUACCAUCCUGCUCAGGUGCUGCAUGGCUGUCGU